GCGGAGGAAAAGAAACCAACAGGGAUUGCCUCAGUAACGGCGAGUGAAGCGGCAAAAGCUCAAAUUUUAAAGCUGGCAUCUUCGGUGUCCGCAUUGUAAUUUUGUGAGGCAUCUCCGGGUAGGGCGCCGGCCUAAGUUCCUUGGAACAGGACGUCACAGAGGGUGAGAAUCCCGUGCUUGGCUGGCUGUCCCCGUCCAUGUGAGGUGUCUUCGACGAGUCGAGUUGUUUGGGAAUGCAGCUCAAAAUGGGUGGUAAAUUUCAUCUAAAGCUAAAUAUUGGUGGGAGACCGAUAGCGCACAAGUAGAGUGAUCGAAAGAUGAAAAGCACUUUGAAAAUAGAGUUAAAAAGUACGUGAAAUUGUUGAAAGGGAAGCGCUUGAGACCAGACUUCGGUAGGGGGUGAUCAGCCGUGCUUCGGCGCGGUGCACUUGUUCCUCUCCGGGCCAGCAUCGGUUGAGGCGGCGGGAUAAAGGUCCCGGGAAUGUGGCUCCUUCACGGGAGUGUUAUAGCCCGGGUGAAUGCCGCCAGCCUCGACCGAGGACCGCGCCCGCAAGGGUUAGGAUGCUUGGCAUAAUGGUCUUCAGCGACCCGUCU
This 594-nucleotide ribosomal RNA is filed under the name Morchella sextelata. RNAcentral's name for it is "eukaryotic LSU rRNA". It matches the Rfam family "Eukaryotic large subunit ribosomal RNA", at positions 50 to 654 of the family's 3401-position model. Lineage: Eukaryota; Fungi; Ascomycota; Pezizomycetes; Pezizales; Morchellaceae. The record is from RNAcentral.